CACGUAGGGGGCGAGCGUUAUCCGGAUUCAUUGGGCGUAAAGCGCGCGUAGGCGGCCCGGGUAGUCGGCGGUCAAAUCCGGGGGCCCAGCCCCCGGCCGCCCCCGAUACUCCCGGGCUCGAGUCUCGCAGGGGACGGCGGAACUCCCGGUGUAGCGGUGGAAUGCGCAGAUAUCGGGAGGAACACCGGUGGCGAAGGCGGCCGUCUGGGCGAGCACUGACGCUGAGGCGCGAGAGCCGGGGGAGC
RNAcentral lists this ribosomal RNA (245 nucleotides) under uncultured Coriobacteriaceae bacterium. RNAcentral describes it as "partial 16S ribosomal RNA". It matches the Rfam family "Bacterial small subunit ribosomal RNA", at positions 524 to 769 of the family's 1533-position model. Lineage: Bacteria; Bacillati; Actinomycetota; Coriobacteriia; Coriobacteriales; Coriobacteriaceae. The record is from RNAcentral.